This 492-nucleotide ribosomal RNA is filed under the name uncultured bacterium. RNAcentral's name for it is "partial 16S ribosomal RNA". It matches the Rfam family "Bacterial small subunit ribosomal RNA", at positions 29 to 507 of the family's 1533-position model. The record is from RNAcentral.
AGUGAACGCUGGCGGUAGGCCUAACACAUGCAAGUCGAACGGCAGCACAGUAAGAGCUUGCUCUUACGGGUGGCGAGUGGCGGACGGGUGAGGAAUACAUCGGAAUCUACUUUUUCGUGGGGGAUAACGUAGGGAAACUUACGCUAAUACCGCAUACGACCUACGGGUGAAAGCAGGGGAUCUUCGGACCUUGCGCGAUUGAAUGAGCCGAUGUCGGAUUAGCUAGUUGGCGGGGUAAAGGCCCACCAAGGCGACGAUCCGUAGCUGGUCUGAGAGGAUGAUCAGCGACACUGGAACUGAGACACGGUCCAGACUCCUACGGGAGGCAGCAGUGGGGAAUAUUGGACAAUGGGCGCAAGCCUGAUGCAGCCAUACCGCGUGGGUGAAGAAGGCCUUCGGGUUGUAAAGCCCUUUUGUUGGGAAAGAAAAGCAGCAGGUUAAGACCCCGCUGUUCUGACGGUACCCAAAGAAUAAGCACCGGCUAACUUCGUG